Molecule: ribosomal RNA, 374 nt
Filed under: uncultured bacterium
Lineage: Bacteria
Description: bacterial SSU rRNA
Rfam family: Bacterial small subunit ribosomal RNA
Source: RNAcentral
GAUGAACGCUAGCGGCAGGCUUAACACAUGCAAGUCGAGGGGUAUUGGUUUUCGGACCAAGAGACCGGCGCACGGGUGCGUAACGCGUAUGCAAUCUACCUUUUGCAGAGGGAUAGCCCCAGAGAAAUUUGGAUUAAUACCUCAUAGUAUAGUACUUUGGCAUCAAGGAACUAUUAAAGUCACAACGGCAAAGAUGAGCAUGCGUCCCAUUAGCUAGUUGGUAAGGUAACGGCUUACCAAGGCUACGAUGGGUAGGGUCCUGAGAGGGAGAUCCCCCACACUGGUACUGAGACACGGACCAGACUCCUACGGGAGGCAGCAGUGAGGAAUAUUGGACAAAUGGGCGGCCAAGACCUGAUCCAGCCACGCCGCGU